Molecule: ribosomal RNA, 241 nt
Filed under: uncultured bacterium
Lineage: Bacteria
Description: partial 16S ribosomal RNA
Rfam family: Bacterial small subunit ribosomal RNA
Source: RNAcentral
CGUGGGUAACCUGCCUUAUAGUGGGGGAUAGCCUUUCGAAAGGAAGAUUAACACCGCAUAAGAUUGUAGUAUCGCAUGAUAUAGCAAUUAAAGGAGCAAUUCGCUAUAAGAUGGACCCGCGUCGCAUUAGCUAGUUGGUGAGGUAAUGGCUCACCAAGGCGACGAUGCGUAGCCGACCUGAGAGGGUGAUCGGCCACAUUGGGACUGAGACACGGCCCAGACUCCUACGGGAGGCAGCAUG